GAACGCUGGCGGCGUGCUUAACACCUGCAAGUCGAACGAAGCACUUUAUUUGAUUUCCUUCGGGACUGAUUAUUUUGUGACUGAGUGGCGGACGGGUGAGUAACGCGUGGGUAACCUGCCUUGUACAGGGGGAUAACAGUUGGAAACGGCUGCUAAUACCGCAUAAGCGCACAGCAUCGCAUGAUGCAGUGUGAAAAACUCCGGUGGUAUAAGAUGGACCCGCGUUGGAUUAGCUAGUUGGUGAGGUAACGGCCCACCAAGGCGACGAUCCAUAGCCGACCUGAGAGGGUGACCGGCCACAUUGGGACUGAGACACGGCCCAAACUCCUACGGGAGGCAGCAGUGGGGAAUAUUGCACAAUGGGCGAAAGCCUGAUGCAGCGACGCCGCGUGAGCGAAGAAGUAUUUCGGUAUGUAAAGCUCUAUCAGCAGGGAAGAUAAUGACGGUACCUGACUAAGAAGCACCGGCUAAAUACGUG
RNAcentral lists this ribosomal RNA (478 nucleotides) under uncultured bacterium. Its description in RNAcentral is "partial 16S ribosomal RNA". It matches the Rfam family "Bacterial small subunit ribosomal RNA", at positions 31 to 507 of the family's 1533-position model. The record is from RNAcentral.